Molecule: non-coding RNA, 156 nt
Organism: Alternaria alternata
Lineage: Eukaryota; Fungi; Ascomycota; Dothideomycetes; Pleosporales; Pleosporaceae
Source: the annotation of a RefSeq genome assembly
GGGCAUGUGGCUGAAUGGUAAUGCAUCCACAUCAUACGAUAAACCCAGAAGGUCGUUAGCUGCAGCUAUCGGGUUAUGGGAGUCGGGGGUCUGACUCGAGACGCGACGUCGCCUCAUUGGCGUGGGAGAUUGUACGUUCGACUCGUACCAUGUCCA